AUGGGCCUAGACUGGUUGCAGAUGCUACUCUUAGCCAAUCCCAAGAUAGUCAUAGACAAACUCAUGCUUAUUCUGUGGCAAGCAUGGCAUCUGAGAAAUAAUGUGGUACAUGGCGAUGGGAAAGACCUAGAUACAGUAGCGGGAUAUGUGCAGUAUCUCGUCAGGCUGCAUGAUGAUCUGCUGCCUGCUGCAUGUGAUCCAGUGGAGGGAGAAACAGGUGAACGAUGGGGCGCCACUGCAGCAAGAGACCACAAGGGGCGAGUGUUCAUGUCCACUGGUCGGCGCCUGGACCGAUGUAGCUCUGUGGAAGAAGCGGAGGGUGCUGCUGCCCUUCUGGGACUGAUAGAAUUCUCAAAACUAUAUAAUUGGCAACUGAUCCUGGAAACCGACUGCACGUUUGUUUGUCGAGAGCUACAGAAUGGGUCCAAGGGCAAGUCAGCAUGCCACGCCGCACUAGUGGGUGCAGCAAAGAUGCUUGGUGCCUUCGCACGCGCGGAGAUCAACAUCAUCAAGCGGAGAAUAGAACAUGAGCUUGCGGCUCUUGCAAGUGGGUCUCGCGAUUGUAUCAUGAUCACUGACGUCCCAGCGGACGCUGAACAUGCUAACAAUUCACCAAGCGCCCCCCUAAAUUUGGGGAAGUCUUUCUCUGAAUUAAGGAUGAGACUGGUCCGAAAUGUCUGCUCUUUGAAAAAUGUCCGCUCUUGUUUUGGCCCGGUUCGGCUCCAUCGAUCUGAAGACCCAGCCAAUUCACAUCAGUUGUCCCACAGCUCCUUCUUCCCCGUCGAAUGGUCAUGGUGGAGGCGAGCGCACGCGACAGGUCUGGUAGCUGCCAUCGCCUUCUUCCCAAUCUCAAUCUCCUCCCCGUUGUACUCGACGGCUUGUAACAAGUGCCAUCGCUCUCCUGCGCAGCCACCGGCCUCUUCGACCCCGGCAACCAUGUACCGUGGACACUCCACGAUUGGUUUCGUCCCAUUCUCCGAAGGAAUCGGUCCAGGAAGACCAACAUCACCGAAACGACCAUCUUUCCCUUCGCCUCCGUCCACCAGUCACUUGCCAAAUCUGUCACCGAAGACACUUCACCAACAAGGCGCACUUGCUCCAGCGUUCUCCACACAUUCCCAUACUUUGGCAGCUGCCACUGAGCUCCCCCGAGCCUCGUUGACUUCGCUAUCAUCAUCUAUAUAUAUACUUGAUCCGAAAAUCACGCUCCCGUGCGGCUCCGCGGCCGCACCGGGGCGCCCCAACUCCGGCAGCCAGGGGCCCUCUUCCCUUCUGCUCCCCCCUCACCGCCGCCGGAGAGAGUCGUCCGGCAAAGCCUCGACGGCUUCGGCGGCGGUGGGGCCGUCUAGCGGCGCCUUCGCGGCGGAUCUGAUGGCUUACGAGCUGGACUAG
This 1392-nucleotide ribosomal RNA is filed under the name Triticum aestivum (bread wheat). RNAcentral's name for it is "partial small subunit ribosomal RNA". Lineage: Eukaryota; Viridiplantae; Streptophyta; Magnoliopsida; Poales; Poaceae. The record is from RNAcentral.